CAGAGCAAAGGAAGUGGCUUAAUGAUCCUGAAGGGAUUUCUUCUGAUGGUAGCUUUUAUAUUAUCAAACUUUUUUCAGAUAACAUCUUCUGAGUCAUACCCAGCCUGGCAAUAUGAUGGCCUAGAUGGAGAGGGGAACAGCUCCUUGGUGAAUGAUAAGUAAAGGCAGAAAAGAUUAUAUUUCAUACCUAUCUUCAUUGGGCAAAAGCAUAACUCUGAAAUCCUUACUACUGAUGAACUCAUGGUCUGCAUAUGCAAAAAAAAAAUUUAAGCAAAUGAAAGCUACCAAUUUAAAGUUAAUGGAAUCUACUCUUAAAGUUAUGGCAUAUCAAGCUGUAUCCACAAAAAUAAUGAAUCGAUGAGAAAUAAAAUAAUGAAAUGAUGAGAAAUACCAUGAAGAUCUAAUGCCCACCUCAAAAUACUGCUUUUACAAAAGCAGAAUAAAAAAUGAAAUGAAAUGAAAAUGAUAAAGCUACACAUUAACCCUGGAAUAAAAGAAGCUGAAAUAAUUGAAAGGAGUGGGAUCAAGUGGAUUGAGAGGAAGCUGUGCUGUUUGCCAAUCUUUCGUUUGCCUCAGACAGGUUUCUCUAUCAGAAGAGUUGCUUCAUAUCAUCUGGGAGCAGAAAACAGCAGGCAGCUGUUCACAGAUAAGUUUAACUUGCAUCUGCAGUAUUGCAUGUUAGGGAUAAGUGCUAUGUUUAAUAAGAGCUGUGGAGGUCCUAGGUCCCUUACUCAAGGGAUCUCAGGAUUUUGAGGAAUUUUCCCAUCCAGCCUUUUAAAAUGAGACAGGCCUUAUGCCUGUGGGCUUCCAUGAUGGGCUAACUCACUUCACUCGAGGCAAGUAAUUCCUUAAAGCCUCUUGAGAUUAAUACCUUAAUAAUCAAGGAUAAUGUUGAUAAAAUAAAAAUUUGUUUAGCAUUGAUUCUUGAAAACCCUAUGAAAAGAUAGCAUAAUGUGCUGUUAACCAGAAUCAGAUAUGUUAACCUUGCUAAAAUUUAAAUGUUAUGUGUAUUGUGCAGAAAACCGUAAAAUCACUCAAAAUAAAAUACUUUAUUUAGCGAAUGUAUGCUUUUAGAAAGCUGUCUCCUUAUUUAAAUAAAAUAUUGUUUGUCUGUAGUUAGUGUUGGGCAAUCUUGGGGGGAUUCUUCUCAUCUUUCAGAGACUUUGUCUGCGAACACUCUGUAAUGGACAAGAUCAGGAAUUGAGCUGAAGAACGAAUUUAACUUAAGAGGCUUCGUUUCAUCCUUCAUGAGGCUGUUCAGGAUUUUGACUUGCAUAUAAACGCUUGGCUCUGCCUUCUGUUCUCCUAGUGGGUGUGUGAGACCUUGCAGUGAGUUUUCAGCAUACUCAAGUAAAAAUUUUUUUCCCCCUGAUUUUGGAGGGAAGGGAGGAGAGGGUGGGGCUUACUUGUUUUAGCUUUUUUUUUGCAGACUACACAGAAUGCAGUUGUCUUGACCUCAGGUCUGUCUGUUCUGUUGGCAAGUAAUAAUGCAGUACUGUUCUGACCUGCUGCUAUUAGAAUGCAUUGUGAAACGACUGGAGUAUGAUUAAAAGUUAUGUUUCCCCCAAUGCUUGGAGUAGUGAUUGUUGAAGGAAAAUCCACUGAGUGAUAAAAGGCUGAGUGUUGAGGAAAUUUCUGCAGCUUUAAGCAUUCAUGUUUGUGAUUGAAGCAGUCCUUUUUGCUGUGCUUUAGGUAAAAUGCUUUUUGUUCACUUCUGGUAGGGGGGGUGGGGAGGGCACUGAAGCCUUUAGUCUUUUCCAGAUGCAACUUUAAAAUCAGUGACAAGAAAUAAGUUCCAAACGAACAACAGACUUCAAGAAGUUUAACUGGCAAGUGGAAACGUUUUAACAUCAGUUCAGUGGUCUUAGUGCAUUGUGUGUGCAGGUUUCUCUCUUCCCUCCCUUGGUCUCAAUUCUUAUACACAGGAACAUUCAGAACAACAGAUGAAGGGCCAGAGAAGCCAGACCCAGUAAGGAAAAAAAAA
Molecule: long non-coding RNA, 1984 nt
Filed under: Sus scrofa (pig)
Lineage: Eukaryota; Metazoa; Chordata; Mammalia; Artiodactyla; Suidae
Description: lncRNA (ENSSSCG00065036687.1)
Rfam family: Metastasis associated lung adenocarcinoma transcript 1 (bases 371-466)
Source: RNAcentral